Caenorhabditis elegans is the source of this 150-nucleotide non-coding RNA. The record is from Ensembl. Lineage: Eukaryota; Metazoa; Nematoda; Chromadorea; Rhabditida; Rhabditidae.
AGUACGUGACGUUUCUAAGUAAAGCGAAAAUUUGCAAACCGUGAGAACAUGUUUCUAAACUUCAUAAUGUCUAUUUCUCUUGCAAACAUACCUCCUCUAAUCAUGAGCCGAUUUGACGUCGGCUUCCGAGACUCGUUUCCGAUCGAACCG